CGGAACGGGUGAGUAACGCGUGAGGAACCUGCCUCAAAGAGGGGGACAACAGUUGGAAACGACUGCUAAUACCGCAUAAGCCCACGGCUCGGCAUCGAGCAGAGGGAAAAGGAGCAAUCCGCUUUGAGAUGGCCUCGCGUCCGAUUAGCUAGUUGGUGAGGUAACGGCCCACCAAGGCGACGAUCGGUAGCCGGACUGGGAGGUUGAACGGCCACAUUGGGGCUGAGACACGGCCCAG
Molecule: ribosomal RNA, 238 nt
Filed under: uncultured bacterium
Lineage: Bacteria
Description: partial 16S ribosomal RNA
Rfam family: Bacterial small subunit ribosomal RNA
Source: RNAcentral